Molecule: ribosomal RNA, 516 nt
Filed under: uncultured bacterium
Lineage: Bacteria
Description: bacterial SSU rRNA
Rfam family: Bacterial small subunit ribosomal RNA
Source: RNAcentral
AAGAACAAGUGCCGUGCGAAUAGAGCGGCACCUUGACGGUACCUGACGAGGAAGCCCCGGCUAACUACGUGCCAGCAGCCGCGGUAAUACGUAGGGGGCAAGCGUUGUCCGGAAUUAUUGGGCGUAAAGCGCGCGCAGGCGGUUCCUUAAGUCUGAUGUGAAAGCCCACGGCUCAACCGUGGAGGGUCAUUGGAAACUGGGGAACUUGAGUACAGAAGAGGAGAGUGGAAUUCCACGUGUAGCGGUGAAAUGCGUAGAUAUGUGGAGGAACACCAGUGGCAAAGGCGACUCUCUGGUCUGUAACUGACGCUGAGGCGCGAAAGCGUGGGGAGCAAACAGGAUUAGAUACCCUGGUAGUCCACGCCGUAAACGAUGAGUGCUAGGUGUUAGGGGGCUUCCACCCCUUAGUGCUGAAGUUAACGCAUUAAGCACUCCGCCUGGGGAGUACGGCCGCAAGGCUGAAACUCAAAGGAAUUGACGGGGGCCCGCACAAGCGGUGGAGCAUGUGGUUAAAUC